Long non-coding RNA from Coturnix japonica (Japanese quail), 12815 nucleotides. RefSeq lists it as uncharacterized. The record is from RefSeq and is a predicted model, not a curated record. Lineage: Eukaryota; Metazoa; Chordata; Aves; Galliformes; Phasianidae.
CUGUACCUCUGUGUCCCCAGGGCAUAGGAUAUCCAUUCCCAUUGGGAUGCUCAUGGCCAUCAGGAUUCCCUUAGCCACCAGACCACCUGUACCCAUUAGGAUGCCCAUGCCAGCCAGGAUACCUAUUGAGAUAACCAAAGCCAUUGUGUUACCAAUGGCCACCAGGCCACCCAUACCCCUUGGGAUGCCCAUGCACAUCAGAAUACCCAAUCCCAUUGGGAUGCCCACACCCACCAGCACAUUCAUGCCCACUAGGAUGCCUAACAUUCGCCACCUGUUAGUGCCAUGGGGAUGGCACCCCAUCAGCAAGAACAGCUGCCACAUCCCUGCCAUGGGGCACACAGCGUGCUGAUCCCUCGCUGUCAUCCAUAUUCCUCAGCACCCUUCUUUACUUCCACUCACCCUUUGCCGUCAUAUCCCACACACAGCAGGGGCAGCAGAGGCAGCACGGGGAGGUUGGGCUAUGGAGAUGGCUGCCUGCCUCUUCCCACUUCCCCAGCACACUUCAGGGCCAGCGAGCCUUCCGUGGACAGUGCAGUUCUGUUUUGCAUCACUGCUUUGAAAAACCCUUGGAGAGAGCAGUGAUUUAUGAGAGGUUUUCUUGUACGAGGGGAAAUAAACCUCUGACCAGACCCGGCUGAAAUCCACACUGCUUAAUUUUCUGUGGAAUCAGGAUUUUACCCCUAUCUGAGGAUUUUGCUUCUUUCCAAGAAAAACAAGCAGUGCCGCUCUCACAAGCAGCCGCGUUCUCUCCGGUGUGGUGCAGGGCCGGCUGGGCACGGCUCCCUCCUCCGCCCCAUCCCAACCCCACGGGUCACAAAUCACAGCAGUUCCUACCGGCGCUGAAGCGAGAACAUCUGCUAGGAAAGUCAACAGUCAUUAAUUAGCUUUUAACUGGGAGAUAGAGAAGCGGGAGAGAGGCACGGACCCCUUUAAUGAGAAUAAAAGGUGUUUAAGCUUAGAGGAGCGCAGGAGCACCGUAGUUACUUUGUAAUAUGAUAAGAGGCUGGGAAUUUAAACCAGCAACUGAGUGUUCUGGGAGGGCAUUUUGGGUGCAGGAGCACAUCCCAUAGCAAUGAAUCCUAGGAGGGAACAGUGCUGGAUAGCUUCAAUGCCCAGAGCUGGAGGUGGGAGCGAGGAGAAUGUAUCCCAGGUGUGCCCAGCAGGGAGCUGAGCCAGGUGCUGCUGAGUUGGGGUGGGAGGAGAGAAAAGGUGGUGGCACCCAGGUCAGCAUCCCAGCACACGUGGGACAGCUGGUCCCCAUCAGAGCAGGUGGGCUGGGAAAGGUGAGCCUAUAAAAAAGGCAGAAGUGGAACCCAAACAACAGGUAGUAAGGGGAUGGUGGAUGGGCCUCAUGCUUGCUCUCCCCUCCCUCCCCAAGCCUGGCUCUGGGUAAUGUGAUGCCAAACAAUGAGAAAGCAGCGCUGACAGCACCAGGGGGAAGGAGGAGGGCUGCUUAUUGGAGGGCAAUCCACUGACAGCAGCUGUAGAAACGCUUCGUUGUUAUCACCUGGGUACAACGGGGCUCUCCACUGUCCCUGAGAGCUGCAGCCAGUUGGAAAGCAACCUCUGUGCUCCUAUACCCUGCUGGGGUGCAGGCAGGUCGCGUCAUGCCGCGUGAUAAGAUCCAAAUGCAGCCAUGCUGCGCAGAACCUGCUCCACCCGCCAGGUGAUGGAUGUUGCUCCCUGCCCAUGAAUCACGCCCAUGGUUGUGUAAGACUCCCUUUCAUUAGAGACCACAUGAAAGCCAAAACAAUCCCAGGCUAUCAGGCACAGAAACCUUCACAAGGACACCAACAUCCAGCACCGGCACAGGAGAGGAGUGUGGGGCCAGAGCUGCUGGCGUGCCAUAAGGAAGCGAUUGAAGCUUUCACAAUCUGUUUAACCAGUGACAUAUGUUUCCUGCAGGCACGGCGAUGUGCUGCAUGCUGAGGUACGGCCACGCAUCCCCACCAGUCCCUGCAUGCUGCUUACAUUGGGCUGCUCAGGGGGGACAUCAAGAAAAGCACCCAGAGAGGCAAACCUAUCUCAGAACAGCAUGUCCUCACUGGGAUGGGGACAGCUGGAUACCAGGUGGAUGGGAGCACUGGGAAUGUUGUGAGCUGGACAUGCUGGAUUAAACCUUACAGCAGCAGGGUUUGGGUGUUAUUUGGGGUUUGGAAACAUUGUAGAGGUGGAGCAGCUCCUCAUGGUGCUGUGCAAGGGGAACUGUCAGGUCACUGUUGGAGGCAGCAGGAAAGCAGUGCUGCAGCAUCCUGCCCCAGAUUGGGCAUUAUAGCCAUGCAGAGGAUGCAAGAUCCAGGGUGAGCAAUGUGGGGGCCCUGAAGGACACUGGGGCUUCCGCUGCCCCAAAUAGCCUGGACUCCAGCCAGGAUGAACCCAGAGAUGGUUUGGAGAUGGAGGCUGUAAACUUGGUGUGAGAACAUGGAGGAGAAUGGAGUAGAAUCUCCUUUGUGCACUGCAAAUCAGCACUGUUCUCUCUGAGGUUUUGGCCUCAGCCAUGUGCCUGGAGCAUGUUGCAUUGAGGCUGUGCACGGGGGGAGGUAGUGGGGCUGGAGCAGGUGAUCAUCAUCUCCAGCUCCAGCAUAAAAGCUCUGGUUCCUGAGCAGGGCAGCAGCAGCUUCCUGUGCACAGAACAGCACCACAGCCACCUGGAAGGGGUCGGGAGCAGAAGCACUGCUGGGCAGAUUUGGCAGUGAGCUGUGCAGAUAGUUUCCUUUGAUAUUCUUUUAUUCUUUUUUUAUUUUCCUUUCUAUGUCAGCUUUCCUGCCUCAGGCUCCAUUCAGUGUAAAGGCCUCCUGUUACCUGGAAAUGACUGCAGGGUGACAGCAUGGGGGGCAGAGGGGAUGGGAGAAUGAGACUCAGCCCUGCUCUUUGCUUUGACUGAGGGCAGUGGGGGCAGCCCCUGUGCCUGACCCUACUGGAGCCCUGCACCCACAGAGGUGACAGGGGAUUUCUGUGUUGCUGACGUAUUCACCAUCUACUUGUCCAUCCCUGGUGUACUGCAGGGCAGGGGGCAGGUGAAGCUGCACAGCUCCAGGUAAGUACUGAGCUUUGGGUGCAAUGGGGACAGAAGCUUGUGCCCCAGUGCUGAGCUUCUGCUGGUGGUGCAUCCCCGGCAGACCUUGCUUGUUACUCUAUUAAAUUUCCAUUUUGACGUGAAAACAGCUGGUUUCAUGGUACCUCUGACUGUGUUAUUUACACAGUCAUGCACACAAUCCCUGCUGAAAAUCGCAUUACUCAAUGCUUCGGCAGCCCUUUGUCUGCAGGUACUGCCUGGAGGUGAUGCUGUCCCCCAGUCUGAGCAGUGGCACCCAACCAGGCUCAGGCAGGGAGCGACCUACAGAGCUGCUCACCUUCCCAGGUGGGUGAUCAGGGCUGGCAAACCCAUCCUGAAGUGCCCCAUCUCCCCCUGCACAACCCACUGCUGAGCCCCCAGGGCGCGGUGGCUGAUGCACAUCGCGGAGCAGAGACAACCGUUGGCCACACUCAAUGGUGCUUUGUUCUCAGCCCAGGAAGCAAUGAAAAUCCUCCCGCUUUGAAGCCUGAGGAGGCCUUUUUAUUACAUCCAGGGCUCCUGGAACAGGGAACCGUGAGUACUUCCCCAUAGAGCGAUGAAAAGCUCUCCUGCCUGAGACCACAGCAACUCAUUACACGUGGGAGCAGUGAGGCCGGUGAACAUUGCUGGGACAUGGAAGAGCCGUGGUACAAUGCUGUUGACCUCACGCCGUCUGUGCCUGCAGAAAGCCAUCCCAUUUUUGUGGCUGAGAAGCUCCUAAGCAGCAAGGCGGCCCUAAUAAUUCCACUUAAUCUUCCCCCAUAAAUCACUCCUCCCCUCCCCUGCUGUCUAUUGGCAUCUUCUGAAGCUAUUAGCUAAUUUCAAGCCAGGAGUUCACACAUUGCCUGGUCCCAUCCCGUCCCCCUGCAGCACUAAGUAUGCACUCCUGGAGGAAGGCUGCCUGAAGUCACCCUCCUCUGGUGGGGAAGAGGUGAGAGCCCACCCCCAUCAGCCCAGUGGGACAGGGGCAGACCGAUCUGCUCAUCCCUGGUGCCUCAUCCUGGGAUUUACAGCUCCAGUUGGGAUUAACUCUGAAACCUGAUGACAACGCCUGAUGUGUCUUCGGCGCCCGUGUCCCUGCUGCUCACCCCCCAUUUUGCUAAUGAGCUUUGUUCAGCAGUGCAAGAUUUGUCCUUAAAAGCAACUUUGGAGGACUGAGAGGUAAGUGUUUAAAGAUGCAAAGGGGAUAACGAUGUGUGGUGUUCCCACAGGUGUUCUGUGUGCUUUGCUCAAAGCCCCCCAACCCCACUGAGCUGCUGGUGAGUGCAGCCAUGGCAAUGGGUCCCCUCCAGCCCUCGAGGAUGAGUCCUGAUAGGAAGACCAGGACACAGCAAUAUCACACCCUGAGGCAGGUUGGGUUUUGUCUGCCAUUUUCUUAAAAUCAUUUUGAGGCAGGAGUAAUAAAUGCUAAAGAUGCGCACGGAAUUUGAAUAUGAAUGAUAAGAACAGCUGUGUAUAUCUAUUAUGAACGAAUAUAAACAGAAAUGUAUAAACUGAGAUUUUGGGGGCUUUGGGAAGAAUUAGUGCCUUUGUUCCUGGAUUUUUUUCCUAUCUGAGUUUGAACCAAAGCCCAUUAGCCCGGACUUUCCCGCAGCCGCCCCAGCCAGGAGCUUCAUUUCGCUCUGGCUCCGAGCCAUGCUGAAUUCUCCUCAACAGCUCAGUGAGCCCUAAUCCUAACAAAUUUACCCAGAGAAGUGGUUCUCUUAUUACACUGCCUAAUUUGAACGCUUUCCAAGGUUAAUUUCUGCUCCCUCUCCCUCCAAACGUGCCUGCCCCCCCUCUCCCCGUUAGCGCCAGCCCGGGGGGAGCAGCCCCAGACCUUCCCCUCCCGGCCACGAUUGGUUUUAAAUGAGAAAAUAAUGCGAUGUUCGUCCCCGGGUGCGGGGUCUGCCCGCGGGGUUUCCUAAUGCUAAGCCACUUCCUUUGCAAAUUAAUUGCAACUUUUGCUGGGCAAAAAUAGCCCUGGAAGCCCAUUCCCCGCGGGCUCUUCCGCGUGUAAUACUACUCUGUUCAUAAUCUGAUUGCUGUGACUCUUAUUUCUUCUUUUCUCCUCACCAUCCCAGGUAUAAUAGAGUCUGCAAAAGCUUUGCAAUGCCUAUGGGGUACCCUGGUUGUACCAGUGGGAUAUCUCCAUGGUAUCUCUGGAUCACAUCUAUGGUAUCUAUGGGAUGUCCCUAUGGUACCCCGUGGGGCAUCCCAAUGGUAUCCUAUGGGGCAUCCCUAUGGUGUCUACCCUUCUCCCUACACCAUAUGAGCUUUGUUGCCACUGGGACUGUCCUCAGCCCUUCUGACAGACCAGCUCCUCCCCAGCCCUGCCUACCCCCUUCAAAGCAAUGUGACUUUUAUUGCAAUUACUUCUGAACCUUGGUGCUGGGGCCGUGCCAAGGAAAGCAGCAGAAAACAAUGUGAUGGGCCUCGGCAGGCGCGGAAACUCCACCGGCAGAGACUGGCCCUAAAAUAACUUUCAUGCGAUGGUUAUUUAUUCUGGGAGAAAGUUCAUUCAUUCACAAUUCAGAGGGGAGAGACAUCAAUGCACAGGGGCAGUACGAGGGUGCUGUGAGCUCACACCCUGCUGCCACAGCUCUGGGUUUGUUGGAAGGGUACUGGGGUUGUGAUGUCUGAAAUCAGGAGGAGAUCCUGCCCUUCUAGGAGGCAGCUUCCUGCCUCCCGGCCUGGGUUUGGUUGUCAGUUCAAUGGGCUCAGAAUUAACCAAUUGGUGAUGUGAUGCAGUGACCCUUCCUUUUUUCCUUUAAAAUAUACAUGCAUAGGUUUGUGUUUUUUGCAGUUACGAAUGUCAUUCCCCAAUCCACUCAGGAGCCGGCAAUUUUCUGGCUGAGGUGGGAAGCUGCCGACAUCAUGUGAUACAUGUCCCACUUGGUGCCCACUGCUCCCAUUGGCUUGAUGGCAAAGGACACUGCAGAGGAAGGGGAAGGAUGCUCCGUUGGACCAGACCCGGGUUCAUUCUCUACCAGUGACACCCAGGUGACCUUGAGCACUGCUCUUGCUAUGAUGAACCAUCAAGAGAUGGCUGUCCAGACUCUCCUGCCAUCUGCUCUCCUCCAUCUGGGCUGUGCCAUCCUUCAUGCCACCCCCUCUAUCCUCCCUUCCUGGCUGGCUCCACGAGAAUGGCCCUCUCUGGAAGCAAGGGAUUAGGCAGAGUGAGAGAUAUCUCUAAAACAGUCACUAAAACUUGGUUCCCCUCAAUAACCUGCCCACCCUGGGGGAAGCUCUGUGCCCGGAUUGCUCUUACUCAACACAUUGUUCCUCAUUCGUUCUUGCUGCAGGGCUGCACCACUCAACAUCACCCUGCAACAGAGUCCCUGUGCUUUUCCAAGUGCAGGCAGUCUCUCUCCUCUGCUGCCCUCCCCUCCAACUUUAUGGGAAAAUCCCUUUCUGCCUAAAAUCCUCCAGAUGUGCUUUACAGCUCGAGGGGAGUUUGUGGGAAAAGCACGCGGUUGGUUGGAUGGGACAUUUCCUGAGAUGCAGGGCAGCACGUUGGUUCCAUUUUGCAGCAGAACCACAUUGCCCAGCACCAUGACAGCUUAGAUAGCCUGGAUGAAUUUUGUCCUUUACAAAGAACCUGAAAAUGAGAGCUUUUUUCCUUUUUAAUUCACACUGUGUGUUUGGGAAGGGAAGCACAGUAUGUGCUACCCAACAUGAUGCAGCCUGUGGCCCCAUGGUUACCCCAAGGAGCUGGCACAACCCCAACCUUGCAACACUCCCUGCACCUUUGGGAACUGAAUUUAGGGCCAAGCAGUGCCAAGUGCCCCAUUGCCACCCAGGGCUAACAAAGUUCUCCCCAUGGACCGAGCCCAGGGCGCAGCCUCCAAGCGAUUAAUUAGUUGUUAGUGGUGACGACCCAGUGGUCGGUGUAGGAUGCUGGGUAGAGGCUUGAUGUAAAUCGUAGCAAUUUGCUGGCUCUGCCACUCUAAAUCCCGUCUAAUUAUACCAAGGGAAGCAUCUGACAUUAAUUUGUUAUGGUAUUUGUGUGCGGAGCGCUAGACGUUUUGGGGACAAAUGGAAGAGCAGCCUUCAGAUCUUUGCCCUUGUGAGCUGCAAGCGAUGGAACGCAGCCUUCUGCUUACCUGCCCGUGUUGGAAAAUUCACUUAGUUUGGAGGCCUAAAUACUAUCAUUUCUAAGUGCCGUCAUUUCAGGGCUGCAGUUUUAAAGGCUGCACUCAAAUAUCUUUGGUGAAAAGGAAAAAAGAGGGGGGGAUGUUUGUCCUGUGUGAAAAAUGAGAUGGGCAGCAGCAUCACAGUGUUGGCAGCGGAGUGUAGGGUGUGGAGGUGCCCGGACUGGGCUGGGUGCAGAGCGGUGUCAGGUGCACAAGCAGCACAUUGCAGCUCUUUGAGGAUAUUGCUGCUUUGCUAGAUAAGAGAAAUUCAAGGGAUGUGCUAUACAUAGAGUUUCAAAACACUCUUGGCAUCGUCACAGAUCAAAGAGGAAUGGUGCAGGCUGAAUCCCGGAAUAGAAGGCAAAAAGAAGGAAAAAGAUUUGGAAUUUACUGGGGGAAAAAAAAAAAAGAGUAAGUAAGAAAGAAAAUACGCUGCAACCAACAGCACAGGGCUGCUGGACUAAAAAUAGCAAAGAAGGUAUUAGUGUGGCAGUGAGUGCACAGAGCUCUGUGUUUGGGGAGAACCUCCUGCAAAGAGGGGACGUGAAGCACGGGAUGUGGAACACCACCCCAAGAUCAGGGUGAGGUGUUCACACUGCACCUCUGUUCCUACUGCCAUAAAGCAGUAAAGGUAACUUGAUUGCAGGGAGACCGGAGGGCUUGGAGCCGUUCCACGGCACUGCCAUUAAAGAGUUUGGAAUAGGAGUUAUUAAAUUACUGCCAGGUACUGUGGGCUUCUCCUAACAGGGAGACUUCAGCUUGGCUUGGAAACUUCAGCUCUGGUUCAUUCGGGUUAAUUAAAAGAGUUCUGGACAUCUUCCAGGGCUGUCUGUCCCCUCCCCUCCAGGGCUGUGCCAUGUCACUGGGCACCAGGUGGGGUGCCCCACAUGCCUUGGGCAUAAGGGAUGGCAGAGCAUGGGGUCCAGGGCUCGUCCACACAGUGGUGUCCUGAAUGUCACCUACAGUGCCUCUGUGCCACCAGCCACAGGAUGCUCUGGCCCAGAGCUCUGCCCACCUGGGAACCCACAGUCCUAAAUGUCCACAUGGCAGAGGGCUAUGUGCAUUUGUGGUCAGCCCCCAAAAUGGGAGGGGGGGCUGCGACCCACAUUAAGGGCGACAGCAGGGUCCAGAGGUGCUGUCCUGUGCCCACCCCCAGCUAGGUUUUGGGCCCCAUGUGUAUAAAUACUGCUCGCAGAUCCCUUAGUGACUCAACCCCCCGAAACACUUUUUGGACUCGUUUUCCCAGAGAGAGUUUAAUGGGGUUUGUCGUGCCAAAACCCCAAGCUAUGCCUCACUUUCAUCCCCUAAUGCAAGCCAUAUAUCAAGAGACACUAAGGGAGCGGGGAGGCUUUCUGACAGGGGGAUCCUGGGAACAAUCAGCCGAUACCCCCCCCUCCCACAGCCCCCACCCCUCGCUCUGUGCAUUCCUGGUAAUGUAAAUAGAGAAGAGAACAUUUGCAGCCCUCCUCGGACCCAGGAGUGCGUCCGGGGACGGCGCCAGGAGCUCGCAGGCAGUCUGCUCUGUUUGAAAUGUCCAAGUGUCAGCGUCCCCAGGGCCACCCGUGUCCCCAGAGCAUCCCAUGCCCACAGCAUUGAUGGAGGGCAGCAAGUGAGGAGGGGAGGCUGGGAUUCUGACUGUGCACAGUGAGUUUCAGCUCUGCUGGACGAUGCAGGUGAUGUAGGACACUGUGCCAUCCCUUGGCGCUGCUGUCCUUGUCCCCAGGCAAUAGGGACAGAGGGACAGGGGGGUGAUGAGGCUGCUCCUCUCUAUUGCCCCCAUCUUGGGUUGGGAACAUCUAAAUUGGGAAGGUUCUUGCUUGCCCCUUCAGUCUCUACUAGGAGUCAAAAGGAGGACUGCAGCAUCCCCAGCAGAGGCCUUUCCCAUGGCUGCAAUGGGGAGCAGGGAAUGACACUGAACUAACUUUUUCUGAAUGUAAUCUGCCUUAGGAAAUGUCAUCCUGGUCCCACACAGGUGAUUAGGGACACUUUAUUCCUAUGGUCACAUCAACUUUCCAUUGGGACCAGCCCCUUGCCACCAUGUGGCACUGCCCCAGGCAUCCCAUGGGAGGACCUGCAGUGGGGAGGGUGACAUUGGGUGGCCCUGGGGGACUCCGGGGAGCACACAGAGGCUGAGGGCAUCUGUAGGUUUUAUGUGCUGGGCCCAGCCCCGGGGGUUUAUGAGGCAGCCGAUGCAGCCAUAAACCUCACCGGGGGGUCAGAGGUGAAUGCAAGCACUCUUAAGUAGGCAAAAACGGUGGUCUGGGCUGGAAACUGAACUUCUUGUGCCAUAAUCAGAACCAGCGGGGUUAAAUUCCUACGGCUGAAGAGCACGGCCGUAGCCUAAACAUCUCUCCCGUGCUGCUGAGGCUGCCCCAAACAGGAUCCCAGGGAUGGAGCAGGGGCUGCUGCAAUGCACUCAGUGCGGCGCUGGGGCAGACCCACCAAGAAUUCUUUAGGCUGUGGGAAGAUCCCAUUAAAAAUGUCAUUAAGGACAUGGAGAUGUGGCUCUGCACCCAGAUAUCCUCAUGCAGACCGCCUUGGUCCGCCCAUUCAUGUCUGGGGUUGGUAUCAGCGUGGUUCAUUAUGCUCAUAAAUGAUAUGGAGAAGGUAUUGUGUUAGCAAAACUGUUACAUAUUUGGGUUGGGAAAGGCUGGAAGACCUUGCUGCUGUGGGGAUGGAUCGCACAGAGGUAUAUGGUAUUCACCAUGGCCCAUGUGAGAUGAUGCAUCUUGGAUGGACUAAUCAAGAUAAUUCACAGAUAUUGUCCUAAAUUAAUUAUAGGCACUCAGUACAAGCCCAGUGUGUCAGUGCAGACAGCUCAAUUAAGCGCUCCUAUUCAAUGUAUGCGGAUGGUCAAAAGAGCAAAGGGAAGAUUACUGUGGGCUGCGAGUUGGGAACAAAGGGGUGGGGAUGUGGCAGUGCUCAAAUCAGUGCAGCUCCACAGCACGUGGAGUGGGAAUGGUGGGCACACGGCAGCGAGAGGCUGAGGGCCACCAAUGGGUUCUCUGUCCUCCUGGGAGGCUCAGGCCUUAAGUCAAGGUCCUGUCCUGCAGUGCUGCUCUGGGUGGCAUGUCCAGGUGGCACAUCUCACCCCAAGCCCAAAGGUUGCGGUGGGAAAUCCUCAGGCUGAUCUCCCUCCCACAAGGCUACGGCCAGCAUCAUGCAAUCUGUUUUCAUUCCUAUUUCAUGAGAUGUGAAUAAUUGAUGAGGAACACAAAGCGUGGGGGAUAAAAUGAAUACAUAUCUAUGUAUGCACACACAAACACACACAGAUAGCGUUAGGAAGAGCUGAGGCACAGCACUCAGAGGAUGCUGCAGAAUAGUGGUGAUGGCUCAAAGCAGGCACACAGCACUGCCCAUGUUAUGCAUAGGGGCUAUAGGGCUGGGAUGGAGGUACUGGGGUGGGCACACAUAGGCUGCCCUGGGGGACCUCAGCCUGUGCCUGUUGGGAAGGGGUGCCCGUGGGUGUGGGACCAGCCCGUGCUGCCUUACAGCCAUGGGUCAGCUUUUCCCACUUCCCAGAUCUGAUUUAUCGCUUUUUUAAUAAAUGGGCCAUUUCCCAUCCACGUCCCACAGACAAUUGCUAAGGGCCCUGGCACCGCGCCACAAACUCCUUUCAACUUCACAGCAAGUUCAUCAAAGGCCUGGGACGCCAUUUCCCCAAAUAGUAAAAGUGUCAGAGCAGCGGGCGUGCGGGGAAGCCUCGGUGACAGCCAAGUGCUUAAUUAGCGGUAAUGCAGAGUUUAUGGCCCCCACACACACCCUCACCCCUGCCUGGUUGUGGGAAGGGUGCAAGGGGUGAGUCAGGUCCUGAUGACCUGCCGUGUCCCUGGUGGUGUGAUGCUGGAAGGAUGGGGACAUCUCAUGGUGCUGCUGUGGGACAACAAAGAGGUGGUUCCCUGUGUCCCCACAUCCCGCUCAUGUCCCUUUUGGAGACAUAUCACCCAGAGCUGAGCGUGGUGACUUCAGCACUCAGAGGCAGACCAUGGGCAUGAAUGGAGCUAAUGUCAUUCAUUCAUUCAUUCAUUCAUUUAUACAUUUUUUGCACCUCUUUCCCAGCACCACCUAAAACCCACCAGGGUUUUUAAUCACAGCUAUGCCCAGAGCAGCACCCCACUGUCCCUGUCCCUAACCCAACAGGUGGGUGCCAUGUUCAAUCAGCAGUGCCUAUACCAGCGAGGCCAGAACAGAAAACCCAAUGACUGGGAGGUUGCUGGCUCUGCAGCAUCUCCACCAGCUGGGAUGGAGGGUGGCAGUUGGCACAGCCCCACUGGAGCAGGGGACAUGGGGACAUGGUGCUCACAGCUGAGCAUAGCAGGGCUGCCCCACCUGGCCCCCUGCUUCCUGCGUUCCCCCCGCCACCCUCCUCGGCACGGCUGGGGCCUCGCAGCCCCAACCAGGAAACUAUAAAACUUUACAGAGUGCGGCUGGAGAGAAACAGGAAUUGCUCUAGUAACUGCCAGAAGGGCCAGCGUUAGAUUCACAAGAUUUUCCAGGGCUCGGACUCGCCAGGAAGGGAUUUAUCCACCUACAAGGAGUUGUAAAAACUAAAAUUAAAUUCUUCAUCUUAGAAAGGGAGGGGUGGAGAAAGGAGAACAUGGUUGACCUCCCCUCCUGAAUGCUCUGCUGGAGGCUGGAGGGGAUACAGGGCACCUGCUGCACCGCGGGGUCCUGCCCCAUGUAACCCAUGCGAGUGCUGCAGGUCUGGGUGCUGUUUGGGGACUCUGUGCACCAAGUUCCAUCCCGACAGCCUCCUGUUGGUGAAGUGCCCUGCUCCCAGUGCACAGAGGACCAAUGUGCCAAUUUGCAUCAUUUGCCUUUUAUCGGAAUUCUUUUCCCCUGACUGCCUGCCUGCACCAGGUACUGCUGUGAGAGUGUGUCUGGGGGAAAUGCUCUUCUCUCACUCAUUCUGCUUUCCUUUCUAUUUUUUCCCCAUUAGUACCGGUGCAGCUCUUAAAAUAACCGCCUGCUUUAAACCAUGUCUCUUUGUUCCCUGCAGCUGCCCUGACCCCGGGCAGAAAAAGAAGGGCCCCGGUGAGGGAUGCCGGACCCACAAACCAAGGGGACAUGGUGGUAGGGGAUCCCUGCAGCCAGGGGUGCGCCCAUCCUUGUGCUGCCAGUGGGAUGGCCUCCAUUGCCUGCGGGGCGUCGGGGCUGGGCCAGAGCCCAGCUUGGAAGUGUGAAGUCGGAGGCUCUUGCCGUGCCCGGGCACGUCUCCGCUUUGUUUAUUCCUUUGCCUUAUUAUUUGGUUCAACUAUUUAUUCCUGGCUGCCUUUUUCUCACGGUUGCUGUGUUUAUUUAGUGCCACUCGCCAGCAGCCCUCUGGGUUCUUGCUCUGAUGACGAAUGCAGCCCUAACCCCGGUGCUGCGCUGCACUGAGAUUUCCCUACAUCAUGACUUUGUGGGGUGGGACAGCAUUUCAAAGGGACACAGGGCAGGGGACAGCAGCGCACAAGGCAGUGGCCACCCAUGCUCUGUGCAUACUGCCAGUGUGCACCCACACCCGAGGGCCUUGUCACCAGCCUGUGCUGAGCAGAGAAGCCCUCGGAGGAAGGAAUGAAGUUGGAAAAGUGUGAGGGUGAUCAGAGUGUGAUGCUACCACCUGCAUUAGGUGAUGUUCCUCAGGGUCCACAACCCCCACC